GCGGAAGUGGGACACUCUCUCCUCUAAGACAAGAAUACACUGGGCAGAGGUGUCAAAAAACAACCACUGCAGGACUCAGGAAGUACAACAGCUGCCAGCGUCAAAUUGAGAAGCGUUUUGCCUCGAGCUGUGGUGUGGGUCCCACAUGCAGCUUGGAUCUGGUGUGGCUGUGGCUGUGGCCAGCAGCUGCAGCUCCGAGGUGACCCCUAGCCUGGGAAUUUCCAGAUGCCGCAGGACCCGGUAAUUCCAUUCCUGGAGAUGUAUUUACCUUAGAGAAAAGAAAACACAAGUGCAGAUGAGAACGAAAACUUCUGUAUGAACAUUGGUAGCAGCUUUAGCCAUCAUAGCCAAAGACUGGAAACAACCCAAGUGUCCAUCCAUAGGUGACUGGAUCGACAAAUUGUGGCAUGGCAAUGCGAUGAACUAUUACUCCCCAGCACAAAGGAACUGCUGAUACACAGCACAGCAUGGAUCGUCUCAGAAACAUGUUGUGUGAAGGAAACUAGUAGCAAAAGUGUGCAUGUUGAAUGAUUCUUCUUAUAUCAAAAUCUGGAAGGCGGAAACCGUGUGGUGACGGGAAGGCCGAUCCGUGGUUGCCUGGGAUUUAGGAGUGAGGAGAUGUUCUUUAUCAUAGCUGUGGUGGUGGUGACACUGGCGUGUAAGUUUUACGUUUAUUGUGUAUAAAUUAUAUCUCCCAAUGAAAUUCAGUUUUGAUGUUUCUUCUUUUUGUCUGUCUUUUUUUUGGGGGGGCCGUACCCAGGGCGUAUGGAAGUUCCUGGGCCAGGGAUUGAAUCCAUGCCAUAGCAGCGACCGAAGCCAUUGCAGUGACAACACCAGAUCCUUAACCCGCUGCGCCGCAGGAGACCUCCAAAAGUCGGUUUUGAAAAAACCUUUCCACUAUUUCAAGAAGGCUACUCAGGAUUCAUUGACUAGAUGGUUCUGCUGCAGGUUGCUUUUUCUCUUUUUCAAAACCUGUUUUGUUCAGGUAUCAGGUUCCCCUUUGUGGUCCUGUUCUUCUAGGAAGAUUGGUCCUAUCCCAAGUUCCUGGUAAUUUUGCUUCAUCUUGAUAAUUUCACUUCUGCAGCUACUUAGCAUGUGUGACCCAGUUCUGGCCAGUGCAGAUGAGCAAAAGUCUGCCAGGGCUUAUAAAAGAUGAAGAAAUGUGAUAGAUCAUAUUUAUUCCUUCCCUAACUCCAUUGAAAUGACAUAAAGGAAUCUUUUUUUAAGUGUAAAUCUAUGAGGAUGAAGAAAAAGGAGGAAGAGAUAGCAGUGGGCCAAAAUUUUACUCACAAAAUUUUGAAAGCCAAAAAGUAGGUGCAUAUGUGAUAAAUAACUUUGGUGUCAACAUUCCUCACUCCUCUUAAGUAUUUACAAUGGAGGAAGCUAAUGAGAAGCAAGCUGAUUUUCAGCCACCAUAAUAAAUUUUAGGUACCUCUGAAUGUGGGAUAUGCAUUUGGUCUAAAACAGAGAUAUUAGUUGAAAGUCUGAAAUAUGACAGUUAGUUCCAGAUCCCCAUCCCACCCAUUCAGGUUACUGCUUCUCCCUCAUUCCUGCCAAAAAUGGGAUGUUUACUCUCUAGAGAUAUUGAAACAGAGAAUGUAUGUGUGAAAGUCUGGUCUCGGGGAACCCUGUUAAAGCUGGGGUGAGAGGCAGGUUUCUCAGCCAGAAGAGUGAGAUUAAGUGAAAAUCUGUACUUUCAACCCGAUCUUUUCAACCAUCUUUCCUGUCUUGGCUUCCAGAAUCCUGACAGCUGAGCUUACUGUCAUAAGCACCACCUCUGUUCACCAAGACAUUAAAAGACUUAGAGAAGCUGACCCAUCCAUGACUCCUAGAACGCUAGUUUAUUAACCACCAUCACAACCCCAGCAAUGGGAUUAUAACAUUCCUUUCUGGGGAAAUCGACCAGCCUGUGAAAAAAAUGUGCUCUUUGGAGUUUCCCUAUUCCCCUCAGGCUCUGAUGAGGUCCAACAGGAAACAGUUGAUACACACAGAAUUCCUAGUUGGCUGUUUUCACCCUCUGUUAAAUAUGAGCAGAAUUUUAAGUGUCUCCAGAUAUUUAUAGAAAGCCUUCUCCAUGAAAAACAAAGUCCUCAAAGAGAUAAGAUGUUUCAUCUAGGAAAUAAGAGCAGGAUGCUGUAUUAUUCAGGGAGUUCCCUGGUG
This 2160-nucleotide long non-coding RNA is filed under the name Sus scrofa (pig). Its description in RNAcentral is "lncRNA (ENSSSCG00015066134.1)". Lineage: Eukaryota; Metazoa; Chordata; Mammalia; Artiodactyla; Suidae. The record is from RNAcentral.